This 487-nucleotide ribosomal RNA is filed under the name uncultured bacterium. Its description in RNAcentral is "bacterial SSU rRNA". It matches the Rfam family "Bacterial small subunit ribosomal RNA", at positions 903 to 1397 of the family's 1533-position model. The record is from RNAcentral.
AAAGGAAUUGACGGGGGCCCGCACAAGCAGUGGAUUAUGUGGUUUAAUUCGAAGCAACGCGAAGAACCUUACCAGGUCUUGACAUCGUGCGCAUAGUAUAGAGAUAUAUGAAGCCCUUCGGGGCGCAUAGACAGGUGGUGCAUGGUUGUCGUCAGCUCGUGUCGUGAGAUGUUGGGUUAAGUCCCGCAACGAGCGCAACCCUUACGAUUAGUUGCUACGCAAGAGCACUCUAAUAGGACUGCCGUUGACAAAACGGAGGAAGGUGGGGAUGACGUCAAAUCAUCAUGCCCCUUAUGACCUGGGCUACACACGUAAUACAAUGGCGCCCAACAGAGGGAAGCGAAGCCGUGAGGCACAGCAAAUCCUCAAAAGGCGUCUCAGUUCAGAUUGCAGGCUGCAACCCGCCUGCAUGAAGUCGGAAUUGCUAGUAAUCGCGGAUCAGCAUGCCGCGGUGAAUACGUUCCCGGGCCUUGUACACACCGCCCGU